This 348-nucleotide ribosomal RNA is filed under the name uncultured bacterium. RNAcentral's name for it is "partial 16S ribosomal RNA". It matches the Rfam family "Bacterial small subunit ribosomal RNA", at positions 338 to 697 of the family's 1533-position model. The record is from RNAcentral.
CCUACGGGAGGCAGCAGUAGGGAAUUUUCGGCAAUGGGGGGAACCCUGACCGAGCCACGCCGCGUGAACGAAGAAGUUACUCGUAAUGUUAAGCUCUUUUUACAGGGAAGAAAGAGAAAUUUGACGGUGCCUGAAGAAUAAGCCCCGGCAAACUACGGGCCAGCAGCCCCGGUAAUACGUAGGGAGCGAACGUUAUCCGGAAUGAUUGGCCGUAAGGGGUGCGUAGAUGGCAUAGUAAGUCUGUGGUAAAAAUGCUGGGCUAAACCCAGUAGUGCAACAGAUACUGCAAAGCUAGAGUAUGAGAGAGGCAGGUGGAACUACUGGUGUAGCGGUAAAAUGCGUAAAUAU